RNAcentral lists this ribosomal RNA (1800 nucleotides) under Listeria monocytogenes. Its description in RNAcentral is "partial 23S ribosomal RNA". It matches the Rfam family "Bacterial large subunit ribosomal RNA", at positions 415 to 2213 of the family's 2925-position model. The record is from RNAcentral. Lineage: Bacteria; Bacillati; Bacillota; Bacilli; Caryophanales; Listeriaceae.
CGGCGGAACACGUGAAAUUCCGUCGGAAUCCGGGAGGACCAUCUCCCAAGGCUAAAUACUCCCUAGUGACCGAUAGUGAACCAGUACCGUGAGGGAAAGGUGAAAAGCACCCCGGAAGGGGAGUGAAACAGUUCCUGAAACCGUGUGCCUACAAGUAGUUAGAGCCCGUUAAUGGGUGAUAGCGUGCCUUUUGUAGAAUGAACCGGCGAGUUACGAUUUGUUGCAAGGUUAAGCGGAAAAAGCGGAGCCGUAGCGAAAGCGAGUCUGAAUAGGGCGCAUAAGUAACAGGUCGUAGACCCGAAACCAGGUGAUCUACCCAUGUCCAGGAUGAAGGUAAGGUAAUACUUACUGGAGGUCCGAACCCACGCACGUUGAAAAGUGCGGGGAUGAGGUGUGGGUAGCGGAGAAAUUCCAAUCGAACUUGGAGAUAGCUGGUUCUCUCCGAAAUAGCUUUAGGGCUAGCCUCGAGGUAAAGAGUCAUGGAGGUAGAGCACUGUUUGGACUAGGGGCCCUUCUCGGGUUACCGAAUUCAGAUAAACUCCGAAUGCCAUGUACUUAUACUCGGGAGUCAGACUGCGAGUGAUAAGAUCCGUAGUCGAAAGGGAAACAGCCCAGACCACCAGUUAAGGUCCCCAAAUAUAUGUUAAGUGGAAAAGGAUGUGGGGUUGCUUAGACAACCAGGAUGUUGGCUUAGAAGCAGCCACCAUUGAAAGAGUGCGUAAUAGCUCACUGGUCGAGUGACCCCGCGCCGAAAAUGUACCGGGGCUAAACAUAUUACCGAAACUGUGGAUGAACCUCUUUAGAGGUUCGUGGUAGGAGAGCGUUCUAAGGGCGGUGAAGUCAGACCGGAAGGACUGGUGGAGCGCUUAGAAGUGAGAAUGCCGGUAUGAGUAGCGAAAGAAGGGUGAGAAUCCCUUCCACCGAAUAUCUAAGGUUUCCUGAGGAAGGCUCGUCCGCUCAGGGUUAGUCGGGACCUAAGCCGAGGCCGAUAGGCGUAGGCGAUGGACAACAGGUAGAGAUUCCUGUACCAGUGCUAAUUGUUUAACCGAUGGGGUGACACAGAAGGAUAGGGAAUCGCACGAAUGGAAAUGUGCGUCCAAGCAGUGAGUGUGAGAAGUAGGCAAAUCCGCUUCUCGCGAAGCAUGAGCUGUGAUGGGGAAGGAAAUUAAGUACGGAAGUUCCUGAUUUCACGCUGUCAAGAAAAGCCUCUAGGAAGAGUAGUACUGCCCGUACCGCAAACCGACACAGGUAGAUGAGGAGAGAAUCCUAAGGUGAGCGAGAGAACUCUCGUUAAGGAACUCGGCAAAAUGACCCCGUAACUUCGGGAGAAGGGGUGCUCUAUUAGGGUGCAAGCCCGAGAGAGCCGCAGUGAAUAGGCCCAGGCGACUGUUUAGCAAAAACACAGGUCUCUGCAAAACCGUAAGGUGACGUAUAGGGGCUGACGCCUGCCCGGUGCUGGAAGGUUAAGAGGAGUGCUUAGCUUCGGCGAAGGUACGAAUUGAAGCCCCAGUAAACGGCGGCCGUAACUAUAACGGUCCUAAGGUAGCGAAAUUCCUUGUCGGGUAAGUUCCGACCCGCACGAAAGGCGCAACGAUCUGGGCACUGUCUCAACGAGAGACUCGGUGAAAUUAUAGUACCUGUGAAGAUGCAGGUUACCCGCGACAGGACGGAAAGACCCCGUGGAGCUUUACUGCAACCUGAUAUGGAAUGUUUGUACCGCUUGUACAGGAUAGGUAGGAGCCGAAGAGACGUGUGCGCUAGCAUACGAGGAGGCAAUGGUGGGAUACUACCCUGGCUGUA